CGGUGGGUGCCUGAGCCCCCAGCUGGGUGGCCGAGGUGAGCGGGGGAAGAUGGCGGAGUGAGAGGAAGAGGCGGAGGGAGAGGGCCGGCCCCGGCCCGGCGGCCUCGGCCAGGGGCAGGUUCACCUGUGUUCCAUUUUGAGUGCCAAUCAGCAAACUGAAAAGGAAGGGCUCUGGGUGGAAAAUGAUGGCACAGGUGGCCAUGAGAUUAAGGGUCUGUUCCUGGCAUCCUAGAAGAAGUUAUUCUGUUACUUUUGCUUAGA
Molecule: long non-coding RNA, 261 nt
Filed under: Gopherus agassizii (Agassiz's desert tortoise)
Lineage: Eukaryota; Metazoa; Chordata; Testudines; Testudinidae
Description: lncRNA (ENSGAGG00000019197.1)
Source: RNAcentral